This 744-nucleotide long non-coding RNA is filed under the name Pan troglodytes (chimpanzee). Its description in RNAcentral is "lncRNA (ENSPTRG00000053629.1)". The record is from RNAcentral. Lineage: Eukaryota; Metazoa; Chordata; Mammalia; Primates; Hominidae.
GAUUGCUUUUACAAUUGGUUUGAUCUUUUUUAUGUACAAAAGUCAACUUAAACGUGAUGUGAAUGUCAUAUCUUCUUUUUCUUUAAUUUUACAGCUGCUCCUAUUUGGCCAUUCUGUGUUCCAUCUCCCUCUCUUCUCCCCCCAACAGAGGGAGAGCUCUUGUGUUCCAUCUUGACAUGAGGACAUGUGUGUGUUGGCAGGAGAGGGUCCUGUGAUGAUGUCUGGCUAUACAGGAGCUACUAUGGCAAUAAGUGAAUAUUUCCACUCUGUUGGCCAGAGCGCUGGUCUUACUGCUGAUUAUGUGUCAAGACUUGAACAUCAUCCCACAUUGUCUGAAAACUGAGCUCUUCCACGGCUUUGCACUGUGCAGUGUGAUGAGAAUGUAAAGAAUAACCUGGUCUGAGAAUGUCCAGUAUUAAAAAAGGAAGAAGAGAAACCUACCACUGUCAAAUCUUCAUGCAGAUGACUUGGAGCAGUUGUGCUGGAUUUGCAAAGUAUAUUUGCAAAGACAUGGAGGAGACGAUAAAAACAGUUGCUUUGUUAUCAAAAUAUACACAUACAUAUAGUAUGAUGGGUGCUGCAAUAAACGUGGGAGUACACGUACCUCUUUGAGAGCCUGAUUUCAUUUCCUUUGGCUGUAUACCCAGAAGUGAGAUUGCUGGGCCAUACUGUAGUUCUAUUUUUAACUUUCUGAGGCACUCUCCUACUGUUUUCCACAACUGCUCCAUCUUUUUACAUCCGUAC